UACGUAGGGUGCAAGCGUUGUCCGGAAUUAUUGGGCGUAAAGAGCUCGUAGGCGGUCUGUCGCGUCGGCUGUGAAAACUCGGGGCUCAACCCCCGAGCCUGCAGUCGAUACGGGCAGACUAGGAGUGCUGUAGGGGAGACUGGAAUUCCUGGUGUAGCGGUGAAAAUGCGCAGAUAUCAGGAGGAACACCGGUGGCGAAGGCGGGUCUCGUGGGCAGUGACUGACGCUGGAGGAGCGAAAGCGUGGGGAGCGAACAGG
RNAcentral lists this ribosomal RNA (258 nucleotides) under uncultured bacterium. RNAcentral's name for it is "partial 16S ribosomal RNA". It matches the Rfam family "Bacterial small subunit ribosomal RNA", at positions 524 to 776 of the family's 1533-position model. The record is from RNAcentral.